GUCCCAGGACCUUGGUCAGACAGUAAGGCAUGAGCAGAGCAAGGACAAUGGGCCAGGUAUGGAAGGUCACCAAGGCAAAAAGCCCUGGGUACCUAGCAAUAGACAAAACUGGGAAAAAAAGGACCUCACCCCCAGGGUAUCCUUUCUUUCCCUAGUCAGGUCAGGUGGUUUAGAUCCCCUGACCUUCCAUAUUGCUGAUCAUGCAGUUUGGAUCCUUCCCUGAGCUUUCCUUCUCUGGCAUGUUGCU
This is a long non-coding RNA of Phyllostomus discolor (pale spear-nosed bat), 247 nucleotides long. RefSeq lists it as uncharacterized. Lineage: Eukaryota; Metazoa; Chordata; Mammalia; Chiroptera; Phyllostomidae. The record is from RefSeq and is a predicted model, not a curated record. The transcript has 3 exons.